This 354-nucleotide ribosomal RNA is filed under the name Triticum aestivum (bread wheat). RNAcentral's name for it is "partial small subunit ribosomal RNA". Lineage: Eukaryota; Viridiplantae; Streptophyta; Magnoliopsida; Poales; Poaceae. The record is from RNAcentral.
GAUCCGACACGACCUCAUCAUCUCUGUCAUCUGGUCAAGGCGCUGUAUGGACUGAAACAGGCUCCUCGUGCAUGGCAUGCUCGCCUUGGAUCCGUUCUUCGGGCUCUUGGGUUUACUCCAUCCACUGCUGAUACAUCACUGUUCCUCCUCCAGCGCCCUGAGGUUACGAUGUAUAUCCUGGUUUAUGUUGAUGAUAUCAUCCUUGUCAGUUCUUCGGCUGCUGCAGCUGAUCGCCUUGUGGUUGCUCUUCGUGAUGAUUUUGCUAUCAAGGAUUUGGGUGCUCUUCACUUUUUCCUUGGUCUUGAGGUUUCACGGUCCUCCGCAGGUUUGACUCUCACUCAGAAGAAGUACUCC